GCCCUCGUGGUGUAAUGGAUAACACGUAAGAUUCCGGUUCUUGCACUGGGGGUUCGAUUCCCUCCGAGGGCG
This is a non-coding RNA of Lysinibacillus xylanilyticus, 72 nucleotides long. The record is from Rfam. Lineage: Bacteria; Bacillati; Bacillota; Bacilli; Caryophanales; Bacillaceae.